RNAcentral lists this ribosomal RNA (484 nucleotides) under uncultured bacterium. RNAcentral's name for it is "partial 16S ribosomal RNA". It matches the Rfam family "Bacterial small subunit ribosomal RNA", at positions 30 to 507 of the family's 1533-position model. The record is from RNAcentral.
AUUGAACGCUGGCGGCAGGCCUAACACAUGCAAGUCGAGCGGAUGAAGGGAGCUUGCUCCUGGAUUCAGCGGCGGACGGGUGAGUAAUGCCUAGGAAUCUGCCUGGUAGUGGGGGAUAACGUCCGGAAACGGGCGCUAAUACCGCAUACGUCCUGAGGGAGAAAGUGGGGGAUCUUCGGACCUCGCGCUAUCAGAUGAGCCUAGGUCGGAUUAGCUAGUUGGUGGGGUAAAGGCCUACCAAGGCGACGAUCCGUAACUGGUCUGAGAGGAUGAUCAGUCACACUGGAACUGAGACACGGUCCAGACUCCUACGGGAGGCAGCAGUGGGGAAUAUUGGACAAUGGGCGAAAGCCUGAUCCAGCCAUGCCGCGUGUGUGAAGAAGGUCUUCGGAUUGUAAAGCACUUUAAGUUGGGAGGAAGGGCAGUAAGUUAAUACCUUGCUGUUUUGACGUUACCAACAGAAUAAGCACCGGCUAACUUCGUU